RNAcentral lists this ribosomal RNA (1443 nucleotides) under uncultured organism. Its description in RNAcentral is "partial small subunit ribosomal RNA". It matches the Rfam family "Bacterial small subunit ribosomal RNA". The record is from RNAcentral.
CGGCGUGCUUAACACAUGCAAGUCGAACGGAAAGGCCCUGCUUUUGUGGGGUGCUCGAGUGGCGAACGGGUGAGUAACACGUGAGUAGCCUGCCCUUGACUUUGGGAUAACUUCAGGAAACUGGGGCUAAUACCGGAUAGGAGCUCCUGCUGCAUGGUGGGGGUUGGAAAGUUUCGGCGGUUGGGGAUGGACUCGCGGCUUAUCAGCUUGUUGGUGGGGUAGUGGCUUACCAAGGCUUUGACGGGUAGCCGGCCUGAGAGGGUGACCGGCCACAUUGGGACUGAGAUACGGCCCAGACUCCUACGGGAGGCAGCAGUGGGGAAUAUUGCACAAUGGGCGGAAGCCUGAUGCAGCAACGCCGCGUGCGGGAUAACGGCCUUCGGGUUGUAAACCGCUUUCGCCUGUGACGAAGCGUGAGUGACGGUAAUGGGUAAAGAAGCACCGGCUAACUACGUGCCAGCAGCCGCGGUGAUACGUAGGGUGCGAGCGUUGUCCGGAUUUAUUGGGCGUAAAGGGCUCGUAGGUGGUUGAUCGCGUCGGAAGUGUAAUCUUGGGGCUUAACCCUGAGCGUGCUUUCGAUACGGGUUGACUUGAGGAAGGUAGGGGAGAAUGGAAUUCCUGGUGGAGCGGUGGAAUGCGCAGAUAUCAGGAGGAACACCAGUGGCGAAGGCGGUUCUCUGGGCCUUUCCUGACGCUGAGGAGCGAAAGCGUGGGGAGCGAACAGGCUUAGAUACCCUGGUAGUCCACGCUGUAAACGGUGGGUACUAGGUGUGGGGUCCAUUCCACGGGUUCCGUGCCGUAGCUAACGCUUUAAGUACCCCGCCUGGGGAGUACGGCCGCAAGGCUAAAACUCAAAGGAAUUGACGGGGCCCCGCACAAGCGGCGGAGCAUGCGGAUUAAUUCGAUGCAACGCGUAGAACCUUACCUGGGUUUGACAUGGAUCGGGAGUGCUCAGAGAUGGGUGUGCCUCUUUUGGGGUCGGUUCACAGGUGGUGCAUGGCUGUCGUCAGCUCGUGUCGUGAGAUGUUGGGUUAAGUCCCGCAACGAGCGCAACCCUUGUUCACUGUUGCCAGCACGUUAUGGUGGGGACUCAGUGGAGACCGCCGGGGUCAACUCGGAGGAAGGUGGGGAUGACGUCAAGUCAUCAUGCCCCUUAUGUCCAGGGCUUCACGCAUGCUACAAUGGCUGGUACAGAGAGUGGCGAGCCUGUGAGGGUGAGCGAAUCUCGGAAAGCCGGUCUCAGUUCGGAUUGGGGUCUGCAACUCGACCUCAUGAAGUCGGAGUCGCUAGUAAUCGCAGAUCAGCAACGCUGCGGUGAAUACGUUCCCGGGGCUUGUACACACCGCCCGUCAAGUCAUGAAAGUUGGUAACACCCGAAGCCGGUGGCCUAACCGUUGUGGGGGAGCCGUCGAAGGUGGGACUGGUGAUUAGGACUAAGUCAUA